Long non-coding RNA from Callithrix jacchus (white-tufted-ear marmoset), 2961 nucleotides. RefSeq lists it as uncharacterized. The record is from RefSeq and is a predicted model, not a curated record. NCBI's taxonomy places the organism in Eukaryota, Metazoa, Chordata, Mammalia, Primates, Cebidae.
CCGUAGCGUCUCCUCAGUCCGAGCUCUUAGGUUCCAGUCCAUGGUUGCACGUUUGGUUAAUCUGGGCAUGCUCAGGGUAUGUGACCUUUAACCUGGGAGUCCAUGGCUGGAGUCCAUGGUUGUCAAUUGAAAAGCAACUGACAACUUUAUUACAUCAAAGUUGAACUGAGGCCUGGAGCGGUGCCUCACGCCUGUAAUCCCGGCACUGUGGGAGGCUGAGGCUGGUGGUUCACCUGAGGUCCAGGGUUCAAGAACCUGAGGCUGGAGUGCUGUGGCACCAUCUCAGUUCACUGCACCUCUGCCUCCCAUGUUCAAGCGGUUCUUGUGCCUCAGCCUCCAGAUUAACUGGGACAAAAGGAUACACCACAAUGCCCAGCUAAUUUUUGUAUUUGUAGUAGAGACCGGGUUUUCCUAUGUUACCCAGGGUGGUCUCAAACUCCUGGGCUCAAGCAGUCUGCCUGCCUCAGCCUCCCAAGGUGGUGAAACUACAGAUGUGAGCCACAGUGUCUGGCCCUCACGCUUAAAACGAUAAACAUUUAUUACUUCACACUGUUUCGGUGGGUGAGGAGCCUAGAAGUGACUUAGCUGAGUGUCUCAGGCUCAGCAUCUCUGAUGGGAUUACAGACAAGCUAUGAGCAGUCAUCUGAAGGUUACCCAGGGCUGGAGCGUCUUCCAAGAUGGUCAUCCAUGUAGCUAUUGGCAGACGUCCUCAAUGCCUUGCCACAUGGGCCUCUCCAUGGGGCUGCCUGGCUGUCCUCACAGCACAGCAUCUGGCUUCCACCUCAACUUCUGUAUUUAUCCCAUCAUUGAGAUUGGCAAAACAAAGGCGAUCGGUGAUGUCCAGGUACACGUCGUCCUCGGGGUCCAGGCGGCGCGGGUCCUGCUGCGCGGAAAUGCGGCUUUUCUUCACGCCCGGCGAGGUCGACGAGCAGCGCCGCAAGCAGUGGGGAUUUCCUAGUGUCUUUGCGAAAGCUCAGGAUGAGACUUUGUCACUAAGGUGGCUCCCUCCUCUCGGCACAUCAAGCUUGUUUGUACCCUGGUCCCAAGAGCUCAGAGGCUGAAGCUCGAGUCCCUGCCUGAAGGUGUCUGCUUUCUGAGAACAGCAGAGACCAACCAUGUCCCAGACCUCCUAUCUCAUCCCGAGACGAAGAAUGCCUAUCCUUCUGGGAAUGCAGUCCAGUAGGUCUCAGCCUCGUUUUACCCAGCCGCCAUUCAAGAUGGAGUUGCUCUAGUUCCAACGCCUCUGACAUAAUAUGAAGUCAUGCAACAUGUGACCUAGGGUUUGCGUUCUUUCACUUAGUAUGUUUCUAAGGUUCCUCUUUUCUGUAAAUCUGUAACGAUUCUAAAUUUUUAAAGUUUAUUAAAAAAACAGUUGAGAGCUGGUGAGCUCUGCCCCUUUCCCAGCUGCCUCUUGGAACCCCUCCCCUCCAGGAGGCUACUCCUCCUUGGGCUGGGGUCGUGCCCUCCGAGUCACCAAGAUGAACUGGGCAGCCCUGCAAGCCACACUCCCCGUCCUAAGCCCGGCGCAGCUACACAGGCUGUGGUAGUAGUACCAGGUGACCUGGGCAGUGGCCCCAUCAGUGCCUGGGAGCUGGGAGCCAGGACAGCACCGACGUCUUCAGGUCAGUGAAGCCCCAUCUCAGGGCAAGAGGGGAGCUGGGGACUCUGUGGGAGACUCAUUUUAAAGCUAGGGGCGGCCCCACGCUCUCUGAACUUCAGGAUUGGCCCAGCAGCGCCCUCACACCCCCUGCUGCAGGCGAUCCCGAGACCCGCGCACAUGCAUGCACGUGCGCACGCACACCUUGGUGUGCACAGUUCUACACGUGCGCUGCUGUUUCCACGUGGAAAAACAAACACAGCUGACGGAAGCGCCUGCCUUUCCUGCGGCCCCGGGCUCAGCGGCCCCGGGCUAUUCUGGGGCCAGCCCACCCCGCCGCGGGGGACACCAUCCGCCCUGGCGCUCAGAACGCGACCCCAGGCUGCGGGGCAGGCGAGCGCUCCCUGGGCUGGAACCUAGCGGUGAGGACCCAGCGGGUUGGGCCCGGGCGUCUGGGGAGCUCCAGAGCCCACACGGUGUCCCCCGCUCUGCCCCCUGCGCGUCAGCCGCCCUCUUUGUAGUCCAGAAGCCGGGCUAGGGGCAGGAUCCCCCGGCCGUUUCCAGCCAGUGGUUUCUUGGCCGCGAAGCGGUGGGGAAUCUGGGGGCGGGGCCAGAGCCCGAGAUGGGUCUGAGGGUGGGAGGCGAUGGCGCCCCCUGGUGGCUGAGCCCGUCCUAGGCGCCAGGCAGAACGCCGGACAAAGCUGUGCCUCCAAGGCCCGGCAGAUAGGAGCGCAGGGCCCGGCAAGGUGGCGGGGCCGGUGUCGCACGCUCAGGCGCUCCCUUUCAUGCAAAGCCAGUGCUCCGAGCUCAGCCCUCGUGCAGGUGGCUCCCUGAGCCUUCCCCUCCGAAUGGCCGGAGGCUGCAGCCCUCCCCGGCCCCUUCCUCAAGAGCAUCAAAAGGGACACUGACCAAGUGCACCACGCAGCAGAGUGACCAUCCCCGGGAACUCGUGCCACUGCCUUCUGGACUGCACGAAUGCCCUGUUUUCUGCAGCAGCUGGCAGCAGCCUGGCCUGGCAGCGCCCCCAGGACUGGCAGCAGCUGCAGGGGCUCCCAUCCCUGGCCCUCUCCCCAGGGUGCACAGCACUGUUCACAGAGACACUUGCUAAAGGAGAUUUAUUUUUACUGCAGCUUUUCCUGCCCCUAAACUGCCCAAGAACAAAGAACAGGAAAUAGACCCAGCAGCCUCCACCCAGCCCAGCCACAAGGCCUCAGCCUCCCAUUAGAGCCUCCACAGCUCCCCUCAGCUCAGCUCAGCAUGGCCAAGGAGCAAAAGGCUUGGAGACAAAGCCCAGAGGGUGAAAAGGGGGUCAGCCCUGAGUGUCUCUGAGGGUGCCAAGCCCAGCCUGGGCCCUGCCUCUCUCC